RNAcentral lists this ribosomal RNA (254 nucleotides) under uncultured bacterium. RNAcentral's name for it is "partial 16S ribosomal RNA". It matches the Rfam family "Bacterial small subunit ribosomal RNA", at positions 526 to 779 of the family's 1533-position model. The record is from RNAcentral.
CGAAGGGGCGAAGCGUUGUUCGGAAUCACUGGGCGUAAAGGGCGCGUAGGCGGACAUUUAAGUCAGGGGUGGAAAUCCCGGGGCUCAACCCCGGAACUGCCCUUGAUACUGGUGUCUUGAGACCGGAAGAGGUAAGUGGAACUGCGAGUGUAGAGGUGAAAUUCGUAGAUAUUCGCAAGAACACCAGUGGCGAAGGCGGCUUACUGGUCCGGAUCUGACGCUGAGGCGCGAAAGCGUGGGGAGCAAACAGGAUU